AAUCAACGCUGGCGGCGUGCCUAACACAUGCAAGUCGAACGCGAAAGUGGAGCAAUCCAUGAGUAGAGUGGCAAACGGGUGAGUAACGCGUGGGUGACCUGCCUUCGAGUGGGGGAUAACGUUCCGAAAGGGACGCUAAUACCGCAUGACAUCCUGCCUUUGAAGAGGCGGAGAUCAAAGCCGGGGAUCGCAAGACCUGGCGCUUGAUGAGGGGCCCGCGUCUGAUUAGCUAGUUGGUGGGGUAACGGCCUACCAAGGCAACGAUCAGUAUCCGGCCUGAGAGGGCGGACGGACACACUGGGACUGAGACACGGCCCAGACUCCUACGGGAGGCAGCAGUGGGGAAUUGUUCGCAAUGGGCGCAAGCCUGACGACGCAACGCCGCGUGGAGGAUGAAGACC
RNAcentral lists this ribosomal RNA (401 nucleotides) under uncultured bacterium. Its description in RNAcentral is "bacterial SSU rRNA". It matches the Rfam family "Bacterial small subunit ribosomal RNA", at positions 29 to 416 of the family's 1533-position model. The record is from RNAcentral.